This 81-nucleotide transfer RNA is filed under the name Neoroseomonas lacus. RNAcentral describes it as "tRNA-Asp". Lineage: Bacteria; Pseudomonadati; Pseudomonadota; Alphaproteobacteria; Acetobacterales; Acetobacteraceae. The record is from RNAcentral.
UGGCGCUGCUGGCCGGGUUGCCGCGGCGGCGCGGGAUCGUCGAUGCCGCCUGGGUCGCCGUGCCGGUCGUCGCGGCGGUGG